GGUAUCAUGCACUGAAUUCAUAGGUGUAUGAAGCGAACCCGGAGAACUGAAACAUCUAAGUAACCGGAGGAAAAGAAAUCAACCGAGAUUCCCUUAGUAGCGGCGAGCGAAAGGGGAUUAGCCUGCAAGUGAUAGCAUUAGUGUUAGUGGAACAGUCUGGAAAGUCUGGCAAUAGAGGGUGAUAGCCCCGUACACGAAAACACUUUUGUGGUACUAAGCUUGCGACAAGUAGGUCGGGACACGUGUUAUCUUGACUGAAUAUGGGGGGACCAUCCUCCAAGGCUAAAUACUACCAACUGACCGAUAGUGAACUAGUACCGUGAGGGAAAGGCGAAAAGAACCCCGGAGAGGGGAGUGAAAUAGAUCCUGAAACCGUAUGCGUACAAGCAGUAGGAGCAGACUUGUUCUGUGACUGCGUACCUUUUGUAUAAUGGGUCAGCGACUUAUUUUCAGUGGCAAGGUUAACCGUUUAGGGGAGCCGUAGGGAAACCGAGUCUUAAUAGGGCGUCUUAGUCGCUGGGAAUAGACCCGAAACCGGGCGAUCUAUCCAUGGCCAGGUUGAAGGUUGAGUAACAUCAACUGGAGGACCGAACCCACUAAUGUUGAAAAAUUAGGGGAUGAGCUGUGGAUCGGAGUGAAAGGCUAAUCAAGCCCGGAGAUAGCUGGUUCUCCUCGAAAGCUAUUUAGGUAGCGCCUCAUGUCUCACCACUGGGGGUAGAGCACUGUUUCGGCUAGGGGGUCAUACCGACUUACCAACCCGAUGCAAACUCCGAAUACCAGUGAGUGCAAUCAUGGGAGACACACGGCGGGUGCUAACGUUCGUCGUGGAGAGGGAAACAACCCAGACCGCCAGCUAAGGUCCCAAAUAUCAGUUAAGUGGGAAACGAUGUGGGAAGGCUCAGACAGCUAGGAAGUUGGCUUAGAAGCAGCCAUCUUUUAAAGAAAGCGUAAUAGCUCACUAGUCGAGUCGGCCUGCGCGGAAGAUUUAACGGGGCUAAACUGAUAACCGAAGCUGCGGACGCAUACUUGUAUGCGUGGUAGAGGAGCGUUCUGUAAGCCGUUGAAGGUGCAUUGUAAAGUGUGCUGGAGGUAUCAGAAGUGCGAAUGCUGACGUGAGUAACGAUAAAGCGGGUGAAAAACCCGCUCGCCGGAAGAUCAAGGUUUCCUGUCCAACGCUAAUCGGGACAGGGUUAGUCGGUACCUAAGGCGAGGCCGAAAGGCGUAGUCGAUGGAAAACAGGUUAAUAUUCCUGUACCGCUAUAUACUGCGAUGGGGGGACGGAGAAGGCUAGGUGAUCAGGGCGUUGGUUGUCCCUGUAUAAGCUCGUAGGGAGAUUCCUUAGGUAAAUCCGGGGAAUCACUAUCCUGAGAAGCGAUAUCGAGCUCAAUUGCGAGCGAAGUCAUUGAUGCCAUGCUUCCAAGAAAAGCCUCUAAGCUUCAGGUAUAUAGAGACCGUACUCUAAACCGACACAGGUGAUCAGGUAGAGAAUACCCAGGCGCUUGAGAGAACUAUGGUGAAGGAACUAGGCAAAAUGGUGCCGUAACUUCGGGAGAAGGCACGCCGAUUUUGGUGAUGGGAUUUACUCCCUAAGCUGAGGUUGGCCGCAGAGACCAGGCCCCUGCGACUGUUUAUCUAAAACACAGCACUCUGCAAACUCGUAAGAGGAAGUAUAGGGUGUGACGCCUGCCCGGUGCCGGAAGGUUAAUUGAUGGGGUUAGCUUCGGCGAAGCUCUUGAUCGAAGCCCCGGUAAACGGCGGCCGUAACUAUAACGGUCCUAAGGUAGCGAAAUUCCUUGUCGGGUAAGUUCCGACCUGCACGAAUGGCGUAACGACGGGGGCGCUGUCUCCACCAUAGACUCAGUGAAAUCGAAAUCGCGGUGAAGAUGCCGUGUUCCCGCGGCUAGACGGAAAGACCCCGUGAACCUUUACUAUAGCUUGGCACUGAACUUUGAACCUAUCUGUGUAGGAUAGGUGGGAGGCUUUGAAGCGUGAUCGCUAGAUUGCGUGGAGCCAUCCUUGAAAUACCACCCUGGUAUGUUUGAGGUUCUAACUCUGACCCAUUAUCUGGGUUGAGGACAGUGUCUGGUGGGUAGUUUGACUGGGGCGGUCUCCUCCCAAAGAGUAACGGAGGAGCGCGAAGGUACACUCAGCAUGGUCGGAAAUCAUGCUAUGAGCGCAAAGGUAAAAGUGU
This 2191-nucleotide ribosomal RNA is filed under the name Porticoccaceae bacterium. RNAcentral describes it as "partial 23S ribosomal RNA". It matches the Rfam family "Bacterial large subunit ribosomal RNA", at positions 147 to 2366 of the family's 2925-position model. Lineage: Bacteria; Pseudomonadati; Pseudomonadota; Gammaproteobacteria; Cellvibrionales; Porticoccaceae. The record is from RNAcentral.